Molecule: ribosomal RNA, 443 nt
Filed under: uncultured bacterium
Lineage: Bacteria
Description: partial 16S ribosomal RNA
Rfam family: Bacterial small subunit ribosomal RNA
Source: RNAcentral
CCUACGGGAGGCAGCAGUGGGGAAUCUUGGGCAAUGGGCGCAAGCCUGACCCAGCAACGCCGCGUGAAGGAAGAAGGCUUUCGGGUUGUAAACUUCUUUUCUCAGGGACGAAGCAAGUGACGGUACCUGAGGAAUAAGCCACGGCUAACUACGUGCCAGCAGCCGCGGUAAUACGGAGGUGGCAAGCGUUAUCCGGAUUUACUGGGUGUAAAGGGCGUGUAGGCGGGAAAGCAAGUCAGAUGUGAAAACCAUGGGCUCAACCUGUGGCCUGCAUUUGAAACUGUGUUUCUUGAGUACUGGAGAGGGAGACGGAAUUCCCAGUGUAGCAGUGAAAUGCGUAGAUAUUAGGAGGAACACUAGUGGCGAAGGCGGGCUGCUGGACAGCAACUGACGCUGAGGCGCGAAAGCGUGGGGAGCAAACAGGAUUAGAUACCCGUGUAGUC